AGAAGCCAUCCUAUCGAACAAAACCUGAAGGAACGCGGAGAGAACUGAUCCUCCGAUCAACGACGCUGCCAUGGUUUUUCCUUCUGAAUUGGAAAGUAAACGAUACCAGACGAGAAAAAAAGAUAAGAAAGACUCUGAUUAACUUUCGCCCGUACAGAAAACGGACGAGAACCGGUAGCAGAAAAAGAUAAGAAAAACUCUGAUUAACCUUCGUCGAUACAAAAAACUACAAAAUUAGAGUCUUUUCGAUU
RNAcentral lists this unclassified non-coding RNA (251 nucleotides) under Hevea brasiliensis (rubber tree). Lineage: Eukaryota; Viridiplantae; Streptophyta; Magnoliopsida; Malpighiales; Euphorbiaceae. The record is from RNAcentral.